UAGGACUCAGCCGUGAGCCUUCCAUAUAAUGGGAAGUUUGAGUUGCAGCUCCUGCUGUCACCUCCAGCUCUGCAUUCUUGUCACUGAGGCCCUGUGCCCACAUUGAGGCUUCUGCCACCUGGAUACUUCGGGCUCUGAGAUGACCUCUUCCCAGGAGGGUGUCUCCAAAAGCAGGACCGAGCUGGCUGCAGUCCAAAGCCUUGAUGCAAAUACCCAGAUGCCUGAAGUUGAGCUACGGGAUAUGAGUAUCCAGGUGCCUGAAGUUGAGCUACGGGACAUGAGUAUCCAGGUGCCUGAAGUUGAGCUACAGGACAUGAGUACCCAGAUGCCUGAUGUUAUGGUUGAUGAUGCUACUACCCAGGUGCCUGAGGUUAAGUACCAUGGAAAUCAGACUGUCCCAACCAGUUCAUGAAAUUGUGGUGUUUCCUAUCCAGGAGUGAAAGCUAGGCAGGGGAUCACAUGUGAAUCUCUAAAAAAGUUGUCUUUCUGGUCUUCUGCCCUAGAAGCUGAAGGAAGAA
Molecule: long non-coding RNA, 518 nt
Organism: Heterocephalus glaber (naked mole-rat)
Lineage: Eukaryota; Metazoa; Chordata; Mammalia; Rodentia; Bathyergidae
Source: Ensembl